CGUCCUCUCAGCUCUGGGAAGGGUGGGGUGGUCAUGAAGUCCUGAGAGAGCAGAGGGACACACCAACUUCUCUUGUUGGUUCCCUCAACCCUGCCCAUACCUAUGGGUAAUCAGAGAUGGAUUCAGUCUCCAGUUAGGAUCCUGAUCAAGGUAUUUGCAUGGGGGAUUCCAUGCAGAUGGUGUAUAGAGAGAAGAUAGACACAAGGGAUCUUCAUAGCCAAGGACUGGAUUUGAACAAGUCAGUCUCCAGCUAUGUUUUAGAGACUGAGGACUGUGCCCGUCAUCCCUUAGAGCUUCUCUCUGGGCCACUGGCUUGAAGCGCACAUCUCAGGGAAAAAGGAGCAGGUUGUUCUGGUGUUCAAGAAAAGAGCCCAAGUGACCCAAGAAACCAG
Molecule: long non-coding RNA, 392 nt
Filed under: Pan troglodytes (chimpanzee)
Lineage: Eukaryota; Metazoa; Chordata; Mammalia; Primates; Hominidae
Description: long non-coding RNA NONPTRT003664
Source: RNAcentral